AUCCAGAUGACGAGUCCCAAAUAAGACGAAAUGCAUAUCCUGGAU
Molecule: non-coding RNA, 45 nt
Organism: Trichobilharzia regenti
Lineage: Eukaryota; Metazoa; Platyhelminthes; Trematoda; Strigeidida; Schistosomatidae
Source: Rfam